Oryza sativa Japonica Group (Japanese rice) is the source of this 1359-nucleotide non-coding RNA. The record is from RefSeq and is a predicted model, not a curated record. Lineage: Eukaryota; Viridiplantae; Streptophyta; Magnoliopsida; Poales; Poaceae.
UAGGAGGGGAACAACCGUGUUGACAUCGAUGGAAGGGAGCCAAUCAUUUGUGGAUGCCAUACAACUGCAUGAGCUUGUUGGUACUGAAUUUAGACUCGAAGUGGGUUCUUGAUUUGGUCAGGUAGAAUCACAUUUGGUAGAGGUCCACGGUGUGUGCGUGUUGGUGUGGUUCAUCGAGGCCAGGGAUAUGGACGAGGGACCGAUGAUGAACGUGGUGUUCGACACGGGCGAUGGUGAUCUGGUGGUGCUGGCGUUCAACGCUGUGGGUGACUAGGUAAAUGGCUAAGUGGCUGCAGCACCGGUGCCCAGGAUGGUGGAUGCCGGUGUGUUUAAUAUGACCAGCGAGCAAGGAAGUGUGCUGGGAUGCAGCAGUCAGAUCCUUUUCUGCCCAUUGUCAAAUGGGAUGGCAAGCCAGUUGGUGAUGGAUUGCAUGCACUUGAAAGAAUUCAGGAUAGUUGAAUGACAAAAAAUGCUUUUGCACUAUCUAACAUGCUUUGCGAAGGCACGUGGAUUGGUUCAGAUAGGGUUCUUGUUACUUAUGAUUAUACUUGAGCUAGACAAUGACUCCUCAAACUUUGGAAGGUCAUUUCUGUAUGAUUAUAUCCUUCCAUUUAGGUGAAAUUUGUCUCGGUGAUUAAUAUAAUUUAUAAAAUAAUCAAAACACUUCUCCUUGUAAAAUGAAGUUUGGUUUGUAUUAUUUGUAGGCAAUAUGUUUUGUUUGUAUUCCUAAGAUACAAAAGUUGUGAUUUUAUAUUUUGGAGGCUAUAUAAUUAGCAACAAUAUAAAAACUCUCUCCGUAGUUCUUUUUUCCUAAAUAUUAAAUUUAUCAUAUUAGAUACUUGAUACCAAACCAUGUGUCAUGAUUUCUAUUACUAAACAUACACGUAGCGUUAGCACGGGCAUAUUAUAUCUAAUUUAUAGUUAAUUUAUUAUAUAUCUUAGUUUUACUCAUUAUAUCUUAGUUUUACUCAUUACUCAUUAAUUUGACAACUAUAGGAUAUGAUGGAUUUGGAUCGUUGGAUGUGUGACAUGAUGAAUGAUGAAUGAUGAAUGAGUAAAACCAUUUAAAGCAUAAUGAAUGAGUAAAACCAUUUAAAGCUACCCUAUAGUUGAACAAAUGGUUUUACUCAUUCAUCAUUCAUCAUAUCACACAUCUAACGGUGCAAAAAUCAUCUGAUGAGUUAAGAUCGGACGUCCCAGAUGCGCGCGUGUCGCUCCUCAUCCUCUCCCGCACACCCCCCUCUCUCUCUCUCUCUGCCGCAAUCGACGCAAUCGCCGCGCCUCCUCCGCAUCGGCGCGAUCGCGCAUCCUCUCCCGCAUCUCCCUCUCUUCCGCAUUCGCCGCACCUCCUCCGCAUCC